AUGGCGGGGUGCAGGGGGUCUCUGUGCUGCUGCUGCAGGUGGUGCUGCUGCUGCGGUGAGCGUGAGACCCGCACCCCCGAGGAGCUGACCAUCCUUGGAGAAACACAGGAGGAGGAGGAUGAGAUUCUUCCAAGGAAAGACUAUGAGAGUUUGGAUUAUGAUCGCUGUAUCAAUGACCCUUACCUGGAAGUUUUGGAGACCAUGGAUAAUAAGAAAGGUCGAAGGUAUGAGGCGGUGAAGUGGAUGGUGGUGUUUGCCAUUGGAGUCUGCACUGGCCUGGUGGGUCUCUUUGUGGACUUUUUUGUGCGACUCUUCACCCAACUCAAGUUCGGAGUGGUACAGACAUCAGUGGAGGAGUGCAGCCAGAAAGGCUGCCUCGCUCUGUCUCUCCUUGAACUCCUGGGUUUUAACCUCACCUUUGUCUUCCUGGCAAGCCUCCUUGUUCUCAUUGAGCCGGUGGCAGCAGGUUCUGGGAUACCCGAGGUCAAAUGCUAUCUGAAUGGCGUGAAGGUGCCAGGAAUCGUCCGUCUCCGGACCCUGCUCUGCAAGGUCCUUGGAGUGCUGUUCAGUGUGGCUGGAGGGCUCUUCGUGGGGAAGGAAGGCCCCAUGAUCCACAGUGGUUCAGUGGUGGGAGCUGGCCUCCCUCAGUUUCAGAGCAUCUCCUUACGGAAGAUCCAGUUUAACUUCCCCUAUUUCCGAAGCGACAGGAGCGGCUGCUGGAGUUGCUGCAGCUUUUGGGGCGCCAAUCGGGGGUACCUUGUUCAGUCUAGAGGAGGGUUCGUCCUUCUGGAAUCAAGGGCUCACGUGGAAAGUGCUCUUUUGUUCCAUGUCUGCCACCUUCACCCUCAACUUCUUCCGUUCUGGGAUUCAGUUUGGAAGCUGGGGUUCCUUCCAGCUCCCUGGAUUGCUGAACUUUGGCGAGUUUAA
Molecule: small RNA, 927 nt
Filed under: Pongo abelii (Sumatran orangutan)
Lineage: Eukaryota; Metazoa; Chordata; Mammalia; Primates; Hominidae
Description: processed transcript
Source: RNAcentral